Molecule: ribosomal RNA, 327 nt
Filed under: uncultured eukaryote
Lineage: Eukaryota
Description: partial 18S ribosomal RNA
Rfam family: Eukaryotic small subunit ribosomal RNA
Source: RNAcentral
CCCUUAGAUGUUCUGGGCCGCACGCGCGCUACACUGAUGCAUUCAACGAGCCUAUCCUUGACCGACAGGUCCGGGUAAUCUUUGAAUCUGCAUCGUGACGGGGAUAGAUUAUUGCAAUUAUUAAUCUUCAACGAGGAAUUCCUAGUAAACGCAAGUCAACAGCUUGCAUUGAUUACGUCCCUGCCCUUUGUACACACCGCCCGUCGCUACUACCGAUUGAAUGGCUUAGUGAGCCCGAGGGACUGUUGCACCUAGAGGGUUUUCUCUCCAGGAGCAGCCGGGAACUCGGUCAAACUUGAUCAUUUAGAGGAAGUAAAAGUCGUAACA